UUAAAGCUUUAGACCUAAUCAUGGUGAGAGGAAACCAGAGUACCCAAAAGAAUACAGGGCUGAAGUGAACCCACAAGAGCUGUAUUUCACAGAUAUAGGACAGUUCACAGAGACCACCAGUGCCCUGAGACUGAUUACCAACCACUAGUGCGUCAAAGCCGUG
Molecule: long non-coding RNA, 163 nt
Filed under: Astyanax mexicanus (Mexican tetra)
Lineage: Eukaryota; Metazoa; Chordata; Actinopteri; Characiformes; Acestrorhamphidae
Description: lncRNA (ENSAMXG00005023272.1)
Source: RNAcentral